GAUGAACGCUGGCGGCGUGCUUAACACAUGCAAGUCGAACGAAGCACUUUAUUUGAUUUCCUUCGGGACUGAUUAUUUUGUGACUGAGUGGCGGACGGGUGAGUAACGCGUGGGUAACCUGCCUUGUACAGGGGGAUAACAGUUGGAAACGGCUGCUAAUACCGCAUAAGCGCACAGCAUCGCAUGAUGCAGUGUGAAAAACUCCGGUGGUAUAAGAUGGACCCGCGUUGGAUUAGCUAGUUGGUGAGGUAACGGCCCACCAAGGCGACGAUCCAUAGCCGACCUGAGAGGGUGACCGGCCACAUUGGGACUGAGACACGGCCCAAACUCCUACGGGAGGCAGCAGUGGGGAAUAUUGCACAAUGGGCGAAAGCCUGAUGCAGCGACGCCGCGUGAGCGAAGAAGUAUUUCGGGAUGUAAAGCUCUAUCAGCAGGGAAGAUAAUGACGGUACCUGACGAAGAAGCACCGGCUAAAUACGUG
Molecule: ribosomal RNA, 481 nt
Filed under: uncultured bacterium
Lineage: Bacteria
Description: partial 16S ribosomal RNA
Rfam family: Bacterial small subunit ribosomal RNA
Source: RNAcentral